This 459-nucleotide ribosomal RNA is filed under the name uncultured bacterium. Its description in RNAcentral is "bacterial SSU rRNA". It matches the Rfam family "Bacterial small subunit ribosomal RNA", at positions 29 to 532 of the family's 1533-position model. The record is from RNAcentral.
AACGAACGCUGGCGGCAGGCCUAACACAUGCAAGUCGAGCGAAGCCUUCGGGCUUAGCGGCGGACGGGUGAGUAACGCGUGGGAACGUGCCCUUUGCUACGGAAUAGCCCCGGGAAACUGGGAGUAAUACCGUAUGUGCCCUUUGGGGGAAAGAUUUAUCGGCAAAGGAUCGGCCCGCGUUGGAUUAGGUAGUUGGUGGGGUAAUGGCCUACCAAGCCGACGAUCCAUAGCUGGUUUGAGAGGAUGAUCAGCCACGCUGGGACUGAGACACGGCCCAGACUCCUACGGGAGGCAGCAGUGGGGAAUCUUAGACAAUGGGCGCAAGCCUGAUCUAGCCAUGCCGCGUGAUCGAUGAAGGCCUUAGGGUUGUAAAGAUCUUUCAGGUGGGAAGAUAAUGACUGUACCACCAGAAGAAGCCCCGGCUAACUCCGUGCCAGCAGCCGCGGUAAAGUCACAUGG